AUGGAUGAUCGGGAAGCUCUGGUGUACCAGGCGAAGCUGGCUGAGAGCAGGCUGAGCGAUACAACGAAAUGGUGGAAUUAAUGAAGAAAGUAGCAGGAAUGGAUGUGGAGCUGACAGUUGAAGAAAGAAAUCUCCUAUCUGUUGCAUAUAAAAAUGUGAUUGGAGCUAGAGGAGCCUCCUGGAGAAUAAUUAGCAGCAUCGAACAGAAAAAAGAAAACAAGGGAGGAGAAAACAAACUAAAAAUGAUUCAGGAAUGUCGGCAAAUGGUUGAGACUGAACUAAAGUUAAUCUGUUGUGACAUUCUGGAUGUACUGGACAAACACCUCAUUCCAGCAGCUAACACUGGCGAGUCCAAUGUUUUCUAUUAUAAAAUGAAAGGGGACUACCACAGGUAUCUGGCUGAAUUUGCCACAGGAAAUGACAGUAAGAAGGCUGAGGAAAACAGCCUAGUGGCUUAUAAAGCUGCUAGUGAUAUUGCAAUGAGAGAACUUCCACUAACGCAUCCAAUUCGUUUAGGUCUUGCUCUCAACUUUUCCUUAUUCUAUUAUGAAAUUCUUAAUUCUCCUAACAGGGCCUGCAGGUUGGCAAAAGCAGCUUUUGAUGAUGCAAUUGCAGAUCUGGAUACUCUGAGUGAAGAAAGCUAGAAAGACUCUACACUUAUCAUGCAGUUGUUACGUGAUAAUCUGACACUAUGGACUUCAGACAUGCAGGGGGAUGGUGGAGAGCAGAAUAAGGAAGCGCUGCAGGAUGUGGAAGAUGAAAAUCAGUGAGACAGAAAAGCCAACAAGAGAAACCAUCUCUGACUACCCCAGUCCUCCCCACCCCUUCCCUUGUGAAGUCCCUAUUGUUACUGAGAACCACAAAAUCUGACUUUCACAUUUGGUCUCAGAAUUUAGGUUCCUGCCCUGUUUUGUUUUUUUUUUUAAACAGUUUUCAAAAGUUCUUAAAGGCAAGAGUGAAUUUCUGUGGAUUUUACUGGUCCCAGCUUUUAGGUUCUUUAAGACACUAACAGGACUGUGUAGAGGCUUUUUCAGCAUUACUGUAUUGUCUCCAUGCCAGAAGUGGCAAGAUC
Molecule: RNA transcript, 1072 nt
Organism: Perognathus longimembris pacificus (Pacific pocket mouse)
Lineage: Eukaryota; Metazoa; Chordata; Mammalia; Rodentia; Heteromyidae
Gene name: 14-3-3 protein epsilon-like
Exons: 1
Source: RefSeq, a predicted model, not a curated record